RNAcentral lists this ribosomal RNA (253 nucleotides) under uncultured bacterium. RNAcentral describes it as "partial 16S ribosomal RNA". It matches the Rfam family "Bacterial small subunit ribosomal RNA", at positions 524 to 776 of the family's 1533-position model. The record is from RNAcentral.
UACGAAGGGGGCUAGCGUUGUUCGGAAUUACUGGGCGUAAAGCGCACGUAGGCGGUUAUUUAAGUCAGGGGUGAAAUCCCAGAGCUCAACUCUGGAACUGCCUUUGAUACUGGGUAUCUUGAGUAUGGAAGAGGUGAGUGGAAUUCCGAGUGUAGAGGUGAAAUUCGUAGAUAUUCGGAGGAACACCAGUGGCGAAGGCGGCUCACUGGUCCAUUACUGACGCUGAGGUGCGAAAGCGUGGGGAGCAAACAGG